This 206-nucleotide ribosomal RNA is filed under the name uncultured bacterium. RNAcentral's name for it is "partial 16S ribosomal RNA". It matches the Rfam family "Bacterial small subunit ribosomal RNA", at positions 568 to 774 of the family's 1533-position model. The record is from RNAcentral.
AGCGUAGACGGUGUGGCAAGUCUGAUGUGAAAGGCAUGGGCUCAACCUGUGGACUGCAUUGGAAACUGUCAUACUUGAGUGCCCGAGGGGUAAGCGGAAUUCCUAGUGUAGCGGUGAAAUGCGUAGAUAUUAGGAGGAACACCAGUGGCGAAGGCGGCUUACUGGACGGUAACUGACGUUGAGGCUCGAAAGCGUGGGAGCAAACA